Molecule: ribosomal RNA, 110 nt
Organism: Cercocebus atys (sooty mangabey)
Lineage: Eukaryota; Metazoa; Chordata; Mammalia; Primates; Cercopithecidae
Source: Ensembl
GCCUGCAGUUAUACUGCUCUGCAAGUGCCUGACUGCAGAAGCUAAGCAUGGUCAGGCCUGGUUAGUACUUGGGGUGGGAGACUGCUCAGGAAGAUCCAUUGUUUUAUGCU